Molecule: ribosomal RNA, 481 nt
Filed under: uncultured bacterium
Lineage: Bacteria
Description: partial 16S ribosomal RNA
Rfam family: Bacterial small subunit ribosomal RNA
Source: RNAcentral
UUGAACGCUGGCGGCAUGCCUUACACAUGCAAGUCGUACGGUAACAGGUCUUCGGAUGCUGACGAGUGGCGACCGGGUGAGUAAUACAUCGGAACGUGCCCGAUCGUGGGGGAUAACGAGGCGAAAGCUUUGCUAAUACCGCAUACGAUCUACGGAUGAAAGCGGGGGAUCUUCGGACCUCGCGCGGACGGAGCGGCCGAUGGCAGAUUAGGUAGUUGGUGGGAUAAAAGCUUACCAAGCCGACGAUCUGUAGCUGGUCUGAGAGGAUGAUCAGCCACACUGGGACUGAGACACGGCCCAGACUCCUACGGGAGGCAGCAGUGGGGAAUUUUGGACAAUGGGCGAAAGCCUGAUCCAGCCAUGCCGCGUGCAGGAUGAAGGCCUUCGGGUUGUAAACUGCUUUUGUACGGAACGAAAAGCCUCUUUCUAAUAAAGAGGGGUCAUGACGGUACCGUAAGAAUAAGCACCGGCUAACUACGUG